CCUACGGGGGGCUGCAGUGGGGAAUAUUGGACAAUGGGGGCAACCCUGAUCCAGCAAUGCCGCGUGUGUGAAGAAGGCCUUCGGGUUGUAAAGCACUUUUGUUGGGGAGGCUGUACCCAAAGAAUAAGCACCGGCUAACUCUGUGCCAGCAGCCGCGGUAAUACAGAGGGUGCGAGCGUUAAUGGAAUUACUGGGCGUAAAGGGCGCGUAGGCGGUUAUAUAAGUUAGAUGUGAAAUCCCUGGGCUUAACCUAGGAACUGCAUCUAAGACUGUAUGACUAGAGUGCAGUAGAGGAUAGUGGAAUUUCCGGUGUAGCGGUGAAAUGCGUAGAUAUCGGAAGGAACACCAGUGGCGAAGGCGGCUAUCUGGCUACACUGACGCUGAGGCGCGAAAGCGUGGGUAGCAAACAGGAUUAGAUACCCUUGUAGUC
RNAcentral lists this ribosomal RNA (430 nucleotides) under uncultured bacterium. Its description in RNAcentral is "partial 16S ribosomal RNA". It matches the Rfam family "Bacterial small subunit ribosomal RNA", at positions 338 to 795 of the family's 1533-position model. The record is from RNAcentral.